Molecule: unclassified non-coding RNA, 254 nt
Filed under: fungal sp.
Lineage: Eukaryota; Fungi
Description: partial internal transcribed spacer region
Rfam family: Eukaryotic small subunit ribosomal RNA (bases 1-46)
Source: RNAcentral
AAGUCGUAACAAGGUUUCCGUAGGUGAACCUGCGGAAGGAUCAUUACCGAGUGAGGGUCUCUCAGGCCCGACCUCCCACCCCGUGUUUUUGUGACCUUGUUGCUUUGGCGGGCCCGCCUCGACGAGAGGCCGCCGGAAGCUCACCGCUUUGGGCCCGUGCCCGCCAGUAGCCCCCUUAAAUUCUUAAUAAAUCUGUCGUCUGAGUCCAUAGAUAUAAUGAAAAAAAACUUUCAACAACGGAUCUCUUGGUUCUG